GACGAACGCUGGCGGCGUGCUUAACACAUGCAAGUCGAACGGAAAGGCCCUGCUCUUGCUGGGUUCUCGAUUGGCGAACGGGUGUGUAACACGUGAGUAUCCUGCCCUUGUCUUUGUGAUAACUUUACGAAAAUCCGGCUCAUACCGCAUAGGAGCUCCUGAUGCAUGUUGUUGGUUAGUAAGUUACGGCGGUUGGGGAUGGACUCGCGGCUUAUCAGCUUGUUGGUGAAGUAGUGGCUUACCAAGGCUUUGACGGGUAGCCUGCCUGAGAGGGUGACGGGCGACAUUGGGACUGAGAUACGGCCCAGACUGCUACGGGAGGCAACAGUGGGAAAUAUUGCAGAAUGGGCGGGAGCCUGAUGCAGCAGCGCCGCGUGCGGGAUGACGGCCUUCGGGUUGUAAACCGCUUUCGCCUGUGACGAAGCGUGAGUGACGGUAAUGGGUAAAGAAGCACCGGCUAACUACGUG
Molecule: ribosomal RNA, 468 nt
Filed under: uncultured bacterium
Lineage: Bacteria
Description: partial 16S ribosomal RNA
Rfam family: Bacterial small subunit ribosomal RNA
Source: RNAcentral